Unclassified non-coding RNA from Cercocebus atys (sooty mangabey), 133 nucleotides. It matches the Rfam family "Y RNA". From Rfam's summary of the family: Y RNAs are components of the Ro ribonucleoprotein particle (Ro RNP), in association with Ro60 and La proteins. The Y RNAs and Ro60 and La proteins are well conserved, but the function of the Ro RNP is not known. In humans the RNA component can be one of four small RNAs -- hY1, hY3, hY4 and hY5. Lineage: Eukaryota; Metazoa; Chordata; Mammalia; Primates; Cercopithecidae. The record is from Ensembl.
GGCUUGUCCAAAGGUAAUGAGUUAUCUCAGUUGAUUGUACACAAUCAGUUAUAGAUCAAACUCCUUGUUUCCAACUCCUUGUUCUACUCUUCCCCACUUCCCCCUUCUCACUACUGUGCUAGACUAGCCUGAA